AUAAAACUAGAGGGAGAAAAUGUAGAGAGAAGUGAUAUGCUAAAGAUAAAGUUUCACCAUGUUUAUUCCUCACUUAAUCUUUGGUAGAACCACCUAUUUAUAGGCUUACAAGAUAGAAGAUUGAAUACCAUCAUUUACAAUAUACCUAUAGGUUACAAGUACUAAUUACAAAUACUUAGUGCAUAGGUUACAUAAAAUCCAACGGUGGAAUAUUAAGAGGUAUGGUGGUCAUUCACCAACUCAUGCAUUUACAACACUCCCCCUUGGAUGUCCACCAUACAAUGACAUUGUUUCCUCAUUAAAAACCUUGCUUGGAAAACCCAGUGGGACAAAACCAAAGCGAAGGGGAAAAGAGUGAAACUUCUUCUUGAUCAUUGAUAUGGUGUUAGAUGCACUUAUAUUGCCUCGUUAAAACCUUACUAGGAAAAAUCCAGUGGGACAAAAACCUAGUCGAAGGAAAAAAGAGUACAACGCGCAUAUGUCCUGUAUGUAGUAGAAUUGGGAUGCUCCCCUUAAUUGAUAUCUCCCCCUGAUUAAUAUCUCUCCUUCUCUGAUUUGAGCAAUACAAGCAACAUUGUCUUCAUACAUGAUCAUCUAUCACACUAUUCAACCUGCUUUUCACUUUUCAAAUGAUUGAAAUCUUUAGGAGUAUCAACAACUAAUUUAGUAGUUAGAAUAUGUUACAACAAUAUCAAAUUUGAAUUCAAAAUACUCAAACUCUUAGUGUUAACUUUUAAUCAAGAAUAUUGUGGUACUUUAUAUCCUUUAAGAGGUUGCUUCAUCUGAUAUAUCUCAAAUAUUUCAUGAGCUUUGAGGAUUUCCAUGUACCAUAUAGUCUUAAUAAAUAUGCAUUUAACACAUGCUAUAAGUUUCGCGUUAAAGUAACAACUGCACUUAUAGAAAUAUGGAUGCAUUUACGAAUUAAUGAUCGUGCUUACAGGACAUGUCUCUCCCAGGAAACCUUGUCCUUUUAUUAGUGAUCUUAUUUCACUUCACAAACACCAAUUCCUAACCUUCAUACUUAACAUUUGUAAUUUGGUGUUUGAGUUAUAGGUUCAAUAUCCAACCCUUCUUAUUUAGUGAUAAAUGGAAUUGCCUAUUUCCAUUUUUGGCCAAUCACUUAACUUGUUGACAUUCAUGAAACGUGAUUUAAUAUAAUCAUAGCCCUUGAUGAUUGUAGUAGCUACUAAUAAACCAAAUGUAUUAUCGAUUUGUGAUCCCACAAUUCUCAUGUGCAUGCGCAUGCAUAAUUUAUAAGCAUCUCAUUACUUUAGGGUACCAAUGCCUCUUCAGGGGCUUAUGUUGUCACUUAUGGGACAAACACCUCUUUUACAAUGAAUUAUUUAGAAUAUGUGGAUCAUAACCUCCUAUAGAGCGUUAUUUUUUUAUAGGGCUUGAAUUUUUCAAAUAAUCUCCACUUCUAGGGAGUUAAGUUUUUAGAACCUAUAUUUUUGUCAUGCUUCAGGCAUGCCUUAUAUAUAUAGUCACCAUGUUAAUGGAUUGUGAUACGAGAAUAUUAAUCCACGUUAGCAUAUGUACAACUUAUAUAUGCAUUUUCUUGAUGAGACAAAAGUGGAUUGAUUCAACACUAUUUCACGAUGUUCUUCAGGAACUGCCAUUUCUCCCCCUAACGGCGGGAAAAUUAUCUCAAAAUUUAGGAAAAUAAACUCACAGUCGUUAUCAAAUAUGUGACCAUUUUAGUAGGCACAUUCAGUAAAACUGGUGAAGUGAUCCAUAAUUAGAUGUUGUAUAGGCUCACAAAUAUCCCCUUGAAUUAUUUCAGGAAAGAUGGCUCAAAGUCAAUUUUUGACUGAGAUGAUCUUAUGACAACUUUUAUUUAUAAGCAUUCUGUGUAAUGAUAUUUGUUGGACAAGACAAUAUUUUGCGUCUUUAAACGAUGUCUUUACAAAUUUAUAAAAAUCUUAUGUAUAAUUGUGGAACAUGGAUUGCCAAGAUAGUCAUGCCACAACAUAAAAGUUAUUCGGUCAAUGAACUUCUGGUUCAUGAUAUCAUAAUCUUCAACUAAUUUAAUAGUUGUGUAAUAUUGGGGCCUCAUGAACUUUUGGUUCAUGACAUCAUAAACUUCAACUACUUUAAUAGUUGUGUAAUAUUGGGGCCUCAUGAACUUUUGGUUCAUGACAUCGUAAACUUUCUACCCACAAAAGAAAGUCAGAAGUUUCUCCAAUAGACACCUCUGGCUGUCAAUAUUUGGGCGGUAAUACAAAACAUUACCAUUGUAAAACGAAAUUAACUAAUAACCCGACAUAAAUAAAAUAAAAUAAAAUGAGUAAAGUGGUAUAAAUGAGUAAAGUGGCUGUCAAUAUUCACGCCCUCAAUUAUUUGGAAUCAAAGAACUUUAGGUUCUGAUUCAAUCAAAAGGAUUCUAUGUCCUAAUUUAGUUAUAUGAUGAGGAUCGAGGAACUUCGGGCCAUGAUCUUUUGUAUAAUUCAAACUCAUCAUAAUAAUUAAGAUCAUAUUUAAAAUUAAAUAAACAAAGAAAUAAAAAAAAAUGACAUUAUAUUCAUGUGUAAUAAGAAUAAGAAUUUUUUUUCUUAAACGAGCAUGAUGAAGUCUGAUGGUGAGUACAAAGAAACUCUAUACCAUGUGAUGACUCUAGUUCAUAUAAGAAGAAUGAAAAUUCAGAGAAAGAAAACAUACCAAGAGCUGUAGUGCUGAUAACGUGUUAUAAAACUAGAGGGAGAAAAUGUAGAGAGAAGUGAUAUGCUAAAGAUAAAGCUUCACCAUGUUUAUUCCUCACUUAAUCUUUGGUAGAACCACCUAUUUAUAGGCUUACAAGAUAGAAGAUUGAAUACCAUCAUUUACAAUAUACCUAUAGGUUACAAGUACUAAUUACAAAUACUUAGUGCAUAGGUUACAUAAAAUCCAACGGUGGAAUAUUAAGAGGUAUGGUGGUCAUUCACCAACUCAUGCAUUUACAACAUAUAAUUAAUUAUAGAAAGUAGUUACAAAACAUGAUUACAAGGCCUGAGACCACAUAGAUGACAGAGGCAGUACAUUUGAACCAGAGAGGGAAUGGGAUUGCAAUGCAAAUGAGGAAGGCCGUGAUUCCAAAAAAGACCCCAAAAGAAUGGAAGAGAUCGACUGUUAUUCUUGGACAGUUGUUGUUGUGAAUAAAUUUGCUUACCAUGAUGCAAGCAAAGGAAAACAGGACGGUGAGUCCGAGAAAUCGAAAGGUUAAAGGGAGCUGGUUGGAGUGAACUUGGACGGGUGUGAGAGCCAUGGCAACGGCUGUUGACAAGCAAUACACCACAAUAAUCUUUUCCCAAUCUAAGUUUUGGUACUUAGUUGGCUUAGGCCUAGCUGCUGGUGCUGGUGCUGGUACAGAUGGUUGUGGUUCGGCUUCGGGGGCAGCUGAAGUACUUUCUGGGUCAUCAAAAACAUCAUCAUGGUGAUGAUCAAAACUGCGGCUAAUAAUGAGUAUUAUUUUCUGGAGGAAUACCUUUAGGGACUCAUAAUAAGAAGAAGAAGAAUGAGUGGAAGUAUUUCUCAUUUUUCUGCAAUGGCUGUGGGAUAUUGUAGGUACAGAGAGGGAAGGACUUUAUAUAGCUGGGGUAUAUUGUAGGCUUGAGUAUAAUACGUGUCCCUUUGGUUCUUGGGGCCUAAUCUCCCUCUUUGUUUGGUUCUAUUUUGUUUGAUCUCCCUCUAUUUUGUUUGGUUCUUGGGGGCUAAAGUACACACUCACCAAUGACGCCAUGUAGUUUGUUUCAUUCUUGCUUUUAGUCAAUGCUGAUGAGCAUCCGGAACACAUAUCUAUUCUCGUGUUUCCAUUGGCCAAUAAUCAUGUGGGCAAUGGAUUUGUCGACUUGGCUUGGCUUGGCUUCAAUUACGUCAUAUAGAUUUUUUGACACUUUCUUCGCACCAGCACGCGUCUCUCUAUUUUCUUUCUUCUUUCUGUGUUUUUUUUUUUUUUGGGUUUAGGGUUUAGGUAAAUGCUCAGCGCCAGAAUAUUGUCUCUUUUUCUUGAUUAUUUUGUUUUUGGUCACUGCGCAGCGCCAGAUUAUUUAUUAUGUGUACUUUUCUUAUUACUCACCAUCCACCUUUCUUAGAGCAUCCACAAUCAUGCUCUCCAUUUUUUAGUUAAAUUUUAGCUAAAAACAUAUAAAAGUUAUUUUAGGAGCUCUCUAUAAAUUUAAACUCCAAGCAUGCUCUCUACUUUAGGAGAAAUUAUACUGUGAUACGGUACUACCACGUGGCA
RNAcentral lists this long non-coding RNA (4216 nucleotides) under Prunus persica (peach). RNAcentral's name for it is "long non-coding RNA (PPER_LNC005571)". Lineage: Eukaryota; Viridiplantae; Streptophyta; Magnoliopsida; Rosales; Rosaceae. The record is from RNAcentral.